Molecule: ribosomal RNA, 253 nt
Filed under: uncultured bacterium
Lineage: Bacteria
Description: partial 16S ribosomal RNA
Rfam family: Bacterial small subunit ribosomal RNA
Source: RNAcentral
UACGUAGGGGGCAAGCGUUGUCCGGAAUCAUUGGGCGUAAAGAGCGCGUAGGCGGCCCUGUAAGUCCGCUGUGAAAGUCAAGGGCUCAACCCUUGAAUGCCGCUGGAAACUGUCUGGCUAGAGUCCGGGAGGGGCGAGUGGAAUUCCUGGUGUAGCGGUGAAAUGCGCAGAUAUCAGGAGGAACACCAAUGGCGAAGGCAGCUCGCUGGAACGGAACUGACGCUGAGGCGCGAAAGCGUGGGGAGCGAACAGG